This 539-nucleotide ribosomal RNA is filed under the name uncultured bacterium. Its description in RNAcentral is "bacterial SSU rRNA". It matches the Rfam family "Bacterial small subunit ribosomal RNA", at positions 8 to 526 of the family's 1533-position model. The record is from RNAcentral.
AGGGUUCGAUUAUGGCUCAGAUUGAACGCUGGCGGUAGGUUUUAUCCAUGCAAGUCGAGCGGUAACAGACAUUUUGAUUCAGCUUGCUGAAUCUAGUGCUGACGAGCGGCGAACUGGUGAGUAACGCGUAGGAAUCUGCCCAGUAGCGGGGGAUAGCCCGAGGAAACUCGGAUUAAUACCGCAUACGCCCUAAGGGGGAAAGGGGGCAUCUUUGAUGCUCUUACUAUUGGAGGAGCCUGCGUAAGAUUAGCUUGUUGGUAGGGUAAAGGCCUACCAAGGCAACGAUCUUUAGCUGGUCUGAGAGGACGAUCAGCCACAUUGGGACUGAGACACGGCCCAGACGUCUACGGACGGCAGCAGGAGAGAAUAUUGGACAAUGAGGGAAACCUUGAUCCAGCCAUACCGCGUGUGUGAAGAAGGCCUUAGGGUUGUAAAGCACUUUAAGCGAUGAAGAAGAAAAGUAAGUUAAUACCUUAUUCUUUUGACGUUACUCGCAGAAUAAGUACCGGCUAACUCCGUGCCAGCAGCCGCGGUAAUAC